GAGCUGGGUUCAGAACGUCGUGAGACAGUUCGGUCUCCUAUCUGUUGUGGGCGUUGAAUAUUGAGGAAACUCAUCUCUAGUACGAGAGGACCGAGAUGGACAAACCUCUGGUCUACCAGUUGUGCACCACGCAUCGCUGGGUAGCUAAGUUCGGUACGGAUAAGCGCUGAAAGCAUCUAAGUGCGAAGCCGUUUCCAAGAUUAAUAUUCGUUAUCAGGGUCGUCCGAGACGAGGACGUUGAUAGGCACUAGGUGAAUGC
This 259-nucleotide ribosomal RNA is filed under the name Candidatus Magasanikiibacteriota bacterium. Its description in RNAcentral is "Candidatus Magasanikbacteria bacterium (metagenome) partial 23S ribosomal RNA". It matches the Rfam family "Bacterial large subunit ribosomal RNA", at positions 2602 to 2874 of the family's 2925-position model. Lineage: Bacteria; Candidatus Magasanikiibacteriota. The record is from RNAcentral.